AGCGUACACGGUGGAUGCCCUGGCAGUCAGAGGCGAUGAAGGACGUGCUAAUCUGCGAAAAGCGUCGGUAAGGUGAUAUGAACCGUUACAGCCGGCGAUGUCCGAAUGGGGAAACCCAGUGCAAUUCGUUGCACUAUCGUUAACUGAAUACAUAGGUUAACGAGGCGAACCGGGGGAACUGAAACAUCUAAGUACCCCGAGGAAAAGAAAUCAACCGAGAUUCCCCCAGUAGCGGCGAGCGAACGGGGAGCAGCCCAGAGUCUGAAUCAGCUUGUGUGUUAGUGGAACGGUCUGGAAAGUCCGACGGUACAGGGUGAUAGUCCCGUACACCAAAAUGCACAGGUUGUGAACUCGAAGAGUAGGGCGGGACACGUGGUAUCCUGUCUGAAUAUGGGGGGACCAUCCUCCAAGGCUAAAUACUCCUGACUGACCGAUAGUGAACCAGUACCGUGAGGGAAAGGCGAAAAGAACCCCGGUGAGGGGAGUGAAAUAGAACCUGAAACCUUGUACGUACAAGCAGUGGGAGCACCUUCGGGGUGACUGCGUACCUUUUGUAUAAUGGGUCAGCGACUUAUAUUCUGUAGCAAGGUUAACCGUAUAGGGGAGCCGCAGGGAAACCGAGUCUUAACUGGGCGUUAAGUUGCAGGGUAUAGACCCGAAACCCGGUGAUCUAGCCAUGGGCAGGUUGAAGGUUGGGUAACACUAACUGGAGGACCGAACCGACUAAUGUUGAAAAAUUAGCGGAUGACUUGUGGCUGGGGGUGAAAGGCCAAUCAAACCGGGAGAUAGCUGGUUCUCCCCGAAAGCUAUUUAGGUAGCGCCUCGUGAACUCAUCUUCGGGGGUAGAGCACUGUUUCGGCUAGGGGGUCAUCCCGACUUACCAACCCGAUGCAAACUACGAAUACCGAAGAAUGUUAUCACGGGAGACACACGGCGGGUGCUAACGUCCGUCGUGAAGAGGGAAACAACCCAGACCGCCAGCUAAGGUCCCAAAGUCAUGGUUAAGUGGGAAACGAUGUGGGAAGGCACAGACAGCCAGGAUGUUGGCUUAGAAGCAGCCAUCAUUUAAAGAAAGCGUAAUAGCUCACUGGUCGAGUCGGCCUGCGCGGAAGAUGUAACGGGGCUAAACCAUGCACCGAAGCUGCGGCAGCGACACUAUGUGUUGUUGGGUAGGGGAGCGUUCUGUAAGCCUGCGAAGGUGGCCUGUGAGGGUUGCUGGAGGUAUCAGAAGUGCGAAUGCUGACAUAAGUAACGAUAAAGCGGGUGAAAAGCCCGCUCGCCGGAAGACCAAGGGUUCCUGUCCAACGUUAAUCGGGGCAGGGUGAGUCGACCCCUAAGGCGAGGCCGAAAGGCGUAGUCGAUGGGAAACAGGUUAAUAUUCCUGUACUUGGUGUUACUGCGAAGGGGGGACGGAGAAGGCUAUGUUAGCCGGGCGACGGUUGUCCCGGUUUAAGCAUGUAGGCGGAGGUUCCAGGUAAAUCCGGUACCUUUUAACGCUGAGGUGUGAUGACGAGGCACUACGGUGCUGAAGUAACAAAUGCCCUGCUUCCAGGAAAAGCCUCUAAGCAUCAGGUAACAUCAAAUCGUACCCCAAACCGACACAGGUGGUCAGGUAGAGAAUACCAAGGCGCUUGAGAGAACUCGGGUGAAGGAACUAGGCAAAAUGGUGCCGUAACUUCGGGAGAAGGCACGCUGGUGUGUAGGUGAAGUCCCUGCGGAUGGAGCUGAGACCAGUCGAAGAUACCAGCUGGCUGCAACUGUUUAUUAAAAACACAGCACUGUGCAAACACGAAAGUGGACGUAUACGGUGUGACGCCUGCCCGGUGCCGGAAGGUUAAUUGAUGGGGUUAUCCGUAAGGAGAAGCUCUUGAUCGAAGCCCCGGUAAACGGCGGCCGUAACUAUAACGGUCCUAAGGUAGCGAAAUUCCUUGUCGGGUAAGUUCCGACCUGCACGAAUGGCGUAAUGAUGGCCAGGCUGUCUCCACCCGAGACUCAGUGAAAUUGAACUCGCUGUGAAGAUGCAGUGUACCCGCGGCAAGACGGAAAGACCCCGUGAACCUUUACUAUAGCUUGACACUGAACAUUGAGCCUUGAUGUGUAGGAUAGGUGGGAGGCUUUGAAGCGUGGACGCCAGUCUGCGUGGAGCCAACCUUGAAAUACCACCCUUUAAUGUUUGAUGUUCUAACGUAGGCCCCUAAUCGGGGUUG
This 2207-nucleotide ribosomal RNA is filed under the name human gut metagenome. RNAcentral's name for it is "bacterial LSU rRNA". It matches the Rfam family "Bacterial large subunit ribosomal RNA", at positions 14 to 2247 of the family's 2925-position model. The record is from RNAcentral.